Molecule: unclassified non-coding RNA, 2548 nt
Filed under: Penaeus japonicus
Lineage: Eukaryota; Metazoa; Arthropoda; Malacostraca; Decapoda; Penaeidae
Description: dNA polymerase delta subunit 3-like, transcript variant X1
Source: RNAcentral
UCUGGCGAGUAAGACCAAUUCAUUAUGAUAUCAAAGCAUUUUUACAACAGAACGCCACAUAUUUGCGACACGUCGUUACUCGUUUCUUACCGUUCUCCAAGUGAGUUUAGCGAAAUUGUAGCGACUUUUGGAAUGAUGUCCCCGCUACGUUCAGCCACCGUUGGCGACGUUGCAUGACAUAAACAAGAGAAAAGUCGCGCGAAAAGCGAUGGUGGCCGCUCCCAGCAUGGACUCCAUGUAUUUAGACAACCUGGAGGAAUUCGUGGUCGAUGAGGGGAAGAUAAUUACCUACAAGUGGCUGAGUCUGACUCUAGGAGUUUCAAGCAAUGUUGCUAAACAAAUGCUCUACCACUUUGUCACAAAUCAACGCAACUCAGACAAAGGUGACAAUCUCAAUGUUACAUAUUUUGUGUCCGGAUUAGAAGCAGGGGAGGAUGGGCUCCCUGAUAUGCAUAAGGUCAUGCUAGUAAGGGAGGAGAAUUUGGCAAGUGCAAAGUCCAAAUUGAAGGAUGUGAAGUCUAUACAUGUCUACAGUGUCCAGAAGACCAAACUACCGGACAUGAGUGUUCUCUAUACCGCAAAUUAUGAUAAAGUCAAGGAAAAUAUUUUGACUAUAAACAAGUACAGUGGUAUUGAGUGUUCAGCUGCCACGAUCCGAUCAUCUUCAGACUUGGAAAAGUUACAGAAACAAAAUGCUUAUCAGGCACCUCCUGAACCACCAACCAAAAUACCGAGCAAAUACAAACCUAACCAGACCAAGACAUCCCCGAAGAAGGAAUCGCCAGGUAACACAAAUAAAGCACCCAGCAAGGGGAACCAGAUUGCUUCCAUGUUUGCCCGUCAGACAAAGAGCAACGAUGAGAAGCAAGAAGGUGCAAAGGAGGCUGAGAAUAAGACCGGAAAGGACACAACAAAGACAACCCCAACUUCUGGAGCCAAGAAAAAGGGUGGAAUAUCUUCUUUCUUCAGCAAGGCACCUCCCACUACAAAGAAAACAGAAUCUACCAAAGCAUCUGAUACAUCACCCACAGACUCCGAAUCCCCUACGAUAAAGUCUGAGGUGGUGUCACCAGUCAAGACAGAUUCUACUGUUUCUUCACCAAUCAAGACUGAAUCCCAAGACUCUGUCAAAGAGGAAGAGUCGGAAAAGAUGGACGUUGACUCGCCUCCCAAGAAAAAGGCAAAGAAGUUACAGUCAAAGAUAAAAACAACAAAAGUCUCACAAAAGAGAGGAAAAAGCAAAAGCACAGACAGUGAGGAACCUGUGCCAAAGAGAAAGCGGAUAAUGCAGCUGAGUGAUUCAGAAUCCAGUAGUGACGAAGAAAAUGAAGGUGAGGAAGAGAGCCCCUUCCCUCCCAGCCCACCUCCUGAACCUGCACGCAUUGAGUCCGACUCUGAGGAAGACAUUCCCCCGACGCCUCAGCCCGCGGCCAAGGUGGACCUGAUGAAAGGUGAAAAGCGAGGAAAGAGGAAGAAGCUUGUUGAUAAGACUUUCAUGGAUGAGGAUGGUUUCUUUGUUACCAAGAAGGAAUACGAAUACGUAAGCGACUCCGGAGAAGAAGACCCCUUGCCUGUGAAGGAAAUCGUCUCCCCUAAAAAGCAAGCAACCCCCCCGCAGUCUGGAAAGAAUGCAUCGCCGAAGAAAGGAGAAAGCAAAGCCGCAGCGUCACCUGUCAAGAAAAAACAAGCCAAUAUCAUGAAUUUCUUCAAAAAGAAGUAGCGGAAAGGCUAGAAAUUGGGUUAUAGGAGGGUAAAGAAUGAUCACUUUUGGGUCUGUUUUCCCGUUUUUGAAGAGAUUUAAUUCCGAAGCAGUUUAGGGCUGCUUGGAUGAAUGAGUCAAUAAAAAAGAUUAUGUAAGUAAAUAAGUAAAAGAUGAGAAGUAUUUCUUAUAUUUAUUCACUUAAUGUUAUAGCUUUAGGUUAUCAGAGAUUGUUACUAUUAUUAUUGUUGUUGUUGUUAUUGCUAUUAUUUUUAUUACUAUUACUAUUAUUAAUAUCAUUAUCAUUAUUAUUAUGAUUAUUAUUAUUAUUAUCUUAAUUAGAAUUUAUAUAAUGAAUAUUAAUUAUUUUUGUUAUUAUUGACAUUGUUGUUAUUAUUAUUAUUAUUAUUAUUAUUAUUAUUAUUAUUAUUAUUAUAAUUAUUACAAUAAUGAUGACUGCUUAUAUUAAGAUAUUAUGAUAUCACAAUUCACUAUUCUGAUAAAGAUGAUGAGUACUUAAAAAGAUAUAUGUAUUUUGUUCUCAUUAUUAUGAUCAUUGUCAUAAGUUGACUUGCAAUAUUGAUCUAGAUUUUGAAUGAUUAAAGUUUCAUAUAUCUUUAUCUCAUAUUUUUUAUUCAUACAGUGAAAGCUGUUGUAAAUAAAAUAUUUGAAAAUUGAUAAUAGGCUCAAGUAUCAUUUUGAAAAUAUGGUUACUAUUCAAGUUUGUGUGACUGAGUUUAUUCUCAUAUAUGAUUUAAAGUCCGUAACAUUAAAGGUAUAAUGCAUUGAGAAAUACAUUUUGUAUAUAACUAUUGUCUUAUGAUAUUACUAUUAAAUUUUUCUUAAAAA